Molecule: ribosomal RNA, 591 nt
Filed under: Triticum aestivum (bread wheat)
Lineage: Eukaryota; Viridiplantae; Streptophyta; Magnoliopsida; Poales; Poaceae
Description: partial small subunit ribosomal RNA
Source: RNAcentral
AUGGUGGGGAAAAAGAUGGUCGCUGUGAAGAAACUAUCCCAAACGAUGCAUGAGAAUAAAUUCCACAGAGAAGUUGAAUGCAUUACGAAGGCCAAGCACAAAAACAUAGUGCGUUUCCUUGGAUACUGUUCUGACACGCAAGGGAGAAUUGAAGAUUACCAAGGAAAGUUUGUCAUGGCAGAUGUACGAAACUGGUUGCUAUGUUUUGAGUACGUACCGAAUGGAAGUCUCAUCGAGUAUAUUACCGAUCCAUCUCGUGGACUUGAAUGGAGAGAGCGAUACCAAAUAAUUAAGGGAAUCUGUGAGGGACUACUUCAUCUUCACGAGAAGCGUAUCCUCCACCUAGAUCUCAAGCCUAGUAAUAUAUUGAUUGAUAUUCACAUGGUACCCAAAAUUGCUGAUUUUGGCCUCUCAAGGUGCCUUGAUAAAGACCAAACCCGUGACUCACUUCAAACAUAUGUGGAUCACUGUAACAUGGCACACGAAUUCUUCAUAGGACAAGUCACUUUUGCAUCAGACAUAUACAGUCUUGGUAUUAUAAUUAUGGAGAUUCUGACAGGAGAGAAGGGGUAUCAGGAAGAACAGAGGUAG